GACGAACGCUGGCGGCGUGCCUAACACAUGCAAGUCGAACGGAAACGCACUGCAUUUUUGGGGCGCUCGAGUGGCGAACGGGUGAGUGACACGUGAGUAACCUGCCCCUCACUUUGGGGGAACAUCAGGAAACUAGGGCGACUACCACAUAGGAGCUCCUGCUGCAGGGUGGGGGGGGGAUAGGUUCGGUGGUUGUGGGUGUACGCGGGGGUUAGCGGCUCGUUGGUGGGGUAGUGGCAUACACAGGCAUGGAGUGGUAGCCGGCCUUUGAGGGUGAACGGCCACAAUGGGACUGAGAGACGGCCCAGACUCGUACGUGAGGCAGCAGUGGGGAAUCUUGCACAGUGGGGGGAAGCCUGAUGCAGCAACGCCGCGUUCGGGAAGACGGCUUUCGGGGUGUGAACCGCAUUCGGUUGAGACGCAGCGUGAAUGACGGUAAUGAGUGAAGAAGCACCGGCUAACUACGUG
This 468-nucleotide ribosomal RNA is filed under the name uncultured bacterium. RNAcentral describes it as "partial 16S ribosomal RNA". It matches the Rfam family "Bacterial small subunit ribosomal RNA", at positions 28 to 507 of the family's 1533-position model. The record is from RNAcentral.